RNAcentral lists this transfer RNA (57 nucleotides) under Aspiculuris sp. PC-2022. RNAcentral's name for it is "tRNA-Tyr". The record is from RNAcentral. Lineage: Eukaryota; Metazoa; Nematoda; Chromadorea; Rhabditida; Heteroxynematidae.
GAGAGGUUAGUUUAAUUGGAAUGUGUGAUUGUAAAUUGCAAGGUUUUUUUCUUCUUG